AACGAACGCUGGCGGCAUGCCUAACACAUGCAAGUCGAACGAGACCUUCGGGUCUAGUGGCGCACGGGUGCGUAACGCGUGGGAACCUGCCUUUAGGUUCGGAAUAACUCUGAGAAAUUUGAGCUAAUACCGGAUGAUGUCUUCGGACCAAAGAUUUAUCGCCUUUAGAUGGGCCCGCGUUGGAUUAGCUAGUUGGUGGUGUAAAGGCCUACCAAGGCGACGAUCCAUAGCUGGUCUGAGAGGAUGAUCAGCCACACUGGGACUGAGACACGGCCCAGACUCCUACGGGAGGCAGCAGUGGGGAAUAUUGGACAAUGGGCGAAAGCCUGAUCCAGCAAUGCCGCGUGAGUGAUGAAGGCCUUAGGGUUGUAAAGCUCUUUUACCCGAGAUGAUAAUGACAGUAUCGGGAGAAUAAGCUCCGGCUAACUCCGUG
RNAcentral lists this ribosomal RNA (433 nucleotides) under uncultured bacterium. Its description in RNAcentral is "partial 16S ribosomal RNA". It matches the Rfam family "Bacterial small subunit ribosomal RNA", at positions 29 to 507 of the family's 1533-position model. The record is from RNAcentral.